RNAcentral lists this ribosomal RNA (921 nucleotides) under uncultured Eubacteriales bacterium. Its description in RNAcentral is "bacterial SSU rRNA". It matches the Rfam family "Bacterial small subunit ribosomal RNA", at positions 540 to 1464 of the family's 1533-position model. Lineage: Bacteria; Bacillati; Bacillota; Clostridia; Eubacteriales. The record is from RNAcentral.
CUUGUCCGGAAUUACUGGGUGUAAAGGGAGCGUAGGCGGGAUGCCAAGUCAGCUGUGAAAACUAUGGGCUUAACCUGUAGACUGCAGUUGAAACUGGUAUUCUUGAGUGAAGUAGAGGUUGGCGGAAUUCCGAGUGUAGCGGUGAAAUGCGUAGAUAUUCGGAGGAACACCGGUGGCGAAGGCGGCCAACUGGGCUUUAACUGACGCUGAGGCUCGAAAGUGUGGGGAGCAAACAGGAUUAGAUACCCUGGUAGUCCACACUGUAAACGAUGAUAACUAGGUGUGGGGGGUCUGACCCCUUCCGUGCCGCAGCUAACGCAAUAAGUUAUCCACCUGGGGAGUACGACCGCAAGGUUGAUACUCAAAGGAAUUGACGGGGACCCGCACAAGCAGUGGAUUAUGUGGUUUAAUUCGAAGCAACGCGAAGAACCUUACCAGCACUUGACAUCCGACUAACGAAGUAGAGAUACAUUAGGUGCCCUUCGGGGAAAGUCGAGACAGGUGGUGCAUGGUUGUCGUCAGCUCGUGUCGUGAGAUGUUGGGUUAAGUCCCGCAACGAGCGCAACCCCUGCCAUUAGUUGCUACGCAAGAGCACUCUAAUGGGACCGCUACCGACAAGGUGGAGGAAGGUGGGGACGACGUCAAAUCAUCAUGCCCCUUAUGUGCUGGGCUACACACGUAAUACAAUGGCCAUCAACAAAGAGAAGCAAUACCGCGAGGUGGAGCAAAACUUCAAAAAUGGUCUCAGUUCGGACUGCAGGCUGCAACCCGCCUGCACGAAGUUGGAAUUGCUAGUAAUCGUGGAUCAGCAUGCCACGGUGAAUACGUUCCCGGGUCUUGUACACACCGCCCGUCACACCAUGGGAGUUGGUAACACCCGAAGUCAGUAGUCUAACCGCAAGGAGGACGCUGCCGAAGGUG